GGAUCGAUCGAAUAUUUUUUUAACGAAUGCCAAUUUUCCCAUUGAGAACUCGUUUAUAUCUGCAUUUAUAUGGCUGUAAUUUUCUUCUUGAUUUUUGCUUUUGU
Drosophila navojoa is the source of this 104-nucleotide long non-coding RNA. The record is from RefSeq and is a predicted model, not a curated record. Lineage: Eukaryota; Metazoa; Arthropoda; Insecta; Diptera; Drosophilidae.